RNAcentral lists this ribosomal RNA (253 nucleotides) under uncultured bacterium. Its description in RNAcentral is "partial 16S ribosomal RNA". It matches the Rfam family "Bacterial small subunit ribosomal RNA", at positions 524 to 776 of the family's 1533-position model. The record is from RNAcentral.
UACGUAGGUGGCAAGCGUUGUCCGGAUUUACUGGGCGUAAAGAGCGCGCAGGCGGUCGUUUAAGUCGAAUGUGAAAGCCCCCGGCUCAACUGGGGAGGGUCGUUCGAUACUGAUCGACUUGAAGGCAGGAGAGGGAAGUGGAAUUCCGGGUGUAGUGGUGAAAUGCGUAGAUAUCCGGAGGAACACCAGUGGCGAAGGCGACUUCCUGGCCUGUUCUUGACGCUGAGGCGCGAAAGCUGGGGGAGCAAACGGG